GCGGAUGUGGCGGAACUGGCAGACGCGCAAGGUUCAGGUCCUUGUGGCCCACAAGGCCGUGGAGGUUCGACUCCUCUCAUCCGCA
RNAcentral lists this transfer RNA (85 nucleotides) under Phycisphaerae bacterium. RNAcentral's name for it is "tRNA-Leu". It matches the Rfam family "tRNA". Rfam says of the family: Transfer RNA (tRNA) molecules are approximately 80 nucleotides in length. Their secondary structure includes four short double-helical elements and three loops (D, anti-codon, and T loops). Further hydrogen bonds mediate the characteristic L-shaped molecular structure. tRNAs have two regions of fundamental functional importance: the anti-codon, which is responsible for specific mRNA codon recognition, and the 3' end, to which the tRNAs corresponding amino acid is attached (by aminoacyl-tRNA synthetases). tRNAs cope with the degeneracy of the genetic code in two manners: having more than one tRNA (with a specific anti-codon) for a particular amino acid; and 'wobble' base-pairing, i.e. permitting non-standard base-pairing at the 3rd anti-codon position. Lineage: Bacteria; Pseudomonadati; Planctomycetota; Phycisphaerae. The record is from RNAcentral.